This 619-nucleotide ribosomal RNA is filed under the name Cortinarius sp. TSJ2000-027. RNAcentral's name for it is "eukaryotic LSU rRNA". The stretch from base 251 to 404 matches the Rfam family "5.8S ribosomal RNA". Lineage: Eukaryota; Fungi; Basidiomycota; Agaricomycetes; Agaricales; Cortinariaceae. The record is from RNAcentral.
AGGAUCAUUAUUGAAAUUAAACUUGAUAAGUUGUUGCUGGUUCUCUAGGGAGCAUGUGCACACUUGUCAUCUUUGUAUUUCCACCUGUGCACUUUUUGUAGGCCUGAUUAUCUCUCUGAAUGCUUAGCCAUUCAGGAUUGAGGAUUGACUUUCAGUCUCUUCCUUACAUUUUCGGGUCUAUGUUCAUUCAUAUACCCUAUGUAUGUUUAUAGAAUGUUGCUAAUGGGCCUUUGUGCCUACAAAUCUAUACAACUUUCAGCAACGGAUCUCUUGGCUCUCGCAUCGAUGAAGAACGCAGCGAAAUGCGAUAAGUAAUGUGAAUUGCAGAAUUCAGUGAAUCAUCGAAUCUUUGAACGCACCUUGCGCUCCUUGGUAUUCCGAGGAGCAUGCCUGUUUGAGUGUCAUUAAUAUAUCAACCUCUUUGGUUGGAUGUGGGUUUGCUGGCCUCUUAAGGUCAGCUCCCCUUAAAUGCAUUAGCGGACAACAUUUUGCCAACCGUUCAUUAGUGUGAUAAUUAUCUACGCUAUUGACGUGAAGCAUGGUUCAGCUUCUAACAGUCCAUUGACUUGGACAAAUUUCUUAUUAAUGUGACCUCAAAUCAGGUAGGACUACCCGCUGA